UACGGAGGGUGCAAGCGUUAUCCGGAUUCACUGGGUUUAAAGGGUGCGUAGGAGGGCAGGUAAGUCAGUGGUGAAAUCCCCGAGCUUAACUUGGGAACUGCCGUUGAUACUAUCUGUCUUGAAUGUUGUGGAGGUGAGCGGAAUAUGUCAUGUAGCGGUGAAAUGCUUAGAUAUGACAUAGAACACCAAUUGCGAAGGCAGCUCGCUACACAGUUAUUGACUCUGAGGCACGAAAGCGUGGGGAUCAAACAGG
RNAcentral lists this ribosomal RNA (253 nucleotides) under uncultured bacterium. RNAcentral's name for it is "partial 16S ribosomal RNA". It matches the Rfam family "Bacterial small subunit ribosomal RNA", at positions 524 to 776 of the family's 1533-position model. The record is from RNAcentral.